This 253-nucleotide ribosomal RNA is filed under the name uncultured bacterium. RNAcentral describes it as "partial 16S ribosomal RNA". It matches the Rfam family "Bacterial small subunit ribosomal RNA", at positions 524 to 776 of the family's 1533-position model. The record is from RNAcentral.
UACGUAGGGGGCAAGCGUUGUCCGGAUUUAUUGGGCGUAAAGAGCGUGUAGGCGGCCAGGUAGGUCUGCUGUGAAAACUCGAGGCUCAACCUCGAGAUGUCGGCGGAAACCAUCUGGCUAGAGUCCGGAAGAGGAGAGUGGAAUUCCUGGUGUAGCGGUGAAAUUCGCAGAUAUCAGGAAGAACACCCGUGGCGAAGGCGGCUCUCUGGGACGGUACUGACGCUGAGACGCGAAAGCGUGGGGAGCGAACAGG